AGAACGAACGCUGGCGGCAUGCCUAACACAUGCAAGUCGAACGCUCUUGGGGCUUCGGUCUCAGGGGAGUGGCGCACGGGUGAGUAACGCGUGGGAACGUACCUUUUGGUUCGGAACAACCCAGGGAAACUUGGGCUAAUACCGGAUAAGCCCUUACGGGGAAAGAUUUAUCGCCGAAAGAUCGGCCCGCGUCUGAUUAGCUAGUUGGUGAGGUAAUGGCUCACCAAGGCGACGAUCAGUAGCUGGUCUGAGAGGAUGAUCAGCCACAUUGGGACUGAGACACGGCCCAAACUCCUACGGGAGGCAGCAGUGGGAAUAUUGGACAAUGGGCGCAAGCCUGAUCCAGCCAUGCCGCGUGAGUGAUGAAGGCCCUAGGGUUGUAAAGCUCUUUGUGCGGGAAGAUAAUGACGGUACCGCAAGAAUAAGCCCCGGCUAACUUCGUGCCAGCAGCCGC
Molecule: ribosomal RNA, 454 nt
Filed under: uncultured bacterium
Lineage: Bacteria
Description: SSU rRNA
Rfam family: Bacterial small subunit ribosomal RNA
Source: RNAcentral